Molecule: ribosomal RNA, 2304 nt
Filed under: Escherichia coli
Lineage: Bacteria; Pseudomonadati; Pseudomonadota; Gammaproteobacteria; Enterobacterales; Enterobacteriaceae
Description: partial 23S ribosomal RNA
Rfam family: Bacterial large subunit ribosomal RNA
Source: RNAcentral
GGGAGCCGAAGGGAAACCGAGUCUUAACCGGGCGUUAAGUUGCAGGGUAUAGACCCGAAACCCGGUGAUCUAGCCAUGGGCAGGUUGAAGGUUGGGUAACACUAACUGGAGGACCGAACCGACUAAUGUUGAAAAAUUAGCGGAUGACUUGUGGCUGGGGGUGAAAGGCCAAUCAAACCGGGAGAUAGCUGGUUCUCCCCGAAAGCUAUUUAGGUAGCGCCUCGUGAAUUCAUCUCCGGGGGUAGAGCACUGUUUCGGCAAGGGGGUCAUCCCGACUUACCAACCCGAUGCAAACUGCGAAUACCGGAGAAUGUUAUCACGGGAGACACACGGCGGGUGCUAACGUCCGUCGUGAAGAGGGAAACAACCCAGACCGCCAGCUAAGGUCCCAAAGUCAUGGUUAAGUGGGAAACGAUGUGGGAAGGCCCAGACAGCCAGGAUGUUGGCUUAGAAGCAGCCAUCAUUUAAAGAAAGCGUAAUAGCUCACUGGUCGAGUCGGCCUGCGCGGAAGAUGUAACGGGGCUAAACCAUGCACCGAAGCUGCGGCAGCGACACUGUGUGUUGUUGGGUAGGGGAGCGUUCUGUAAGCCUGUGAAGGUGUGCUGUGAGGCAUGCUGGAGGUAUCAGAAGUGCGAAUGCUGACAUAAGUAACGAUAAAGCGGGUGAAAAGCCCGCUCGCCGGAAGACCAAGGGUUCCUGUCCAACGUUAAUCGGGGCAGGGUGAGUCGACCCCUAAGGCGAGGCCGAAAGGCGUAGUCGAUGGGAAACAGGUUAAUAUUCCUGUACUUGGUGUUACUGCGAAGGGGGGACGGAGAAGGCUAUGUUGGCCGGGCGACGGUUGUCCCGGUUUAAGCGUGUAGGCUGGUUUUCCAGGCAAAUCCGGAAAAUCAAGGCUGAGGCGUGAUGACGAGGCACUACGGUGCUGAAGCAACAAAUGCCCUGCUUCCAGGAAAAGCCUCUAAGCAUCAGGUAACAUCAAAUCGUACCCCAAACCGACACAGGUGGUCAGGUAGAGAAUACCAAGGCGCUUGAGAGAACUCGGGUGAAGGAACUAGGCAAAAUGGUGCCGUAACUUCGGGAGAAGGCACGCUGAUAUGUAGGUGAAGUCCCUCGCGGAUGGAGCUGAAAUCAGUCGAAGAUACCAGCUGGCUGCAACUGUUUAUUAAAAACACAGCACUGUGCAAACACGAAAGUGGACGUAUACGGUGUGACGCCUGCCCGGUGCCGGAAGGUUAAUUGAUGGGGUCAGCGCAAGCGAAGCUCUUGAUCGAAGCCCCGGUAAACGGCGGCCGUAACUAUAACGGUCCUAAGGUAGCGAAAUUCCUUGUCGGGUAAGUUCCGACCUGCACGAAUGGCGUAAUGAUGGCCAGGCUGUCUCCACCCGAGACUCAGUGAAAUUGAACUCGCUGUGAAGAUGCAGUGUACCCGCGGCAAGACGGAAAGACCCCGUGAACCUUUACUAUAGCUUGACACUGAACAUUGAGCCUUGAUGUGUAGGAUAGGUGGGAGGCUUUGAAGUGUGGACGCCAGUCUGCAUGGAGCCGACCUUGAAAUACCACCCUUUAAUGUUUGAUGUUCUAACGUGGACCCGUGAUCCGGGUUGCGGACAGUGUCUGGUGGGUAGUUUGACUGGGGCGGUCUCCUCCUAAAGAGUAACGGAGGAGCACGAAGGUUGGCUAAUCCUGGUCGGACAUCAGGAGGUUAGUGCAAUGGCAUAAGCCAGCUUGACUGCGAGCGUGACGGCGCGAGCAGGUGCGAAAGCAGGUCAUAGUGAUCCGGUGGUUCUGAAUGGAAGGGCCAUCGCUCAACGGAUAAAAGGUACUCCGGGGAUAACAGGCUGAUACCGCCCAAGAGUUCAUAUCGACGGCGGUGUUUGGCACCUCGAUGUCGGCUCAUCACAUCCUGGGGCUGAAGUAGGUCCCAAGGGUAUGGCUGUUCGCCAUUUAAAGUGGUACGCGAGCUGGGUUUAGAACGUCGUGAGACAGUUCGGUCCCUAUCUGCCGUGGGCGCUGGAGAACUGAGGGGGGCUGCUCCUAGUACGAGAGGACCGGAGUGGACGCAUCACUGGUGUUCGGGUUGUCAUGCCAAUGGCACUGCCCGGUAGCUAAAUGCGGAAGAGAUAAGUGCUGAAAGCAUCUAAGCACGAAACUUGCCCCGAGAUGAGUUCUCCCUGACCCUUUAAGGGUCCUGAAGGAACGUUGAAGACGACGACGUUGAUAGGCCGGGUGUGUAAGCGCAGCGAUGCGUUGAGCUAACCGGUACUAAUGAACCGUGAGGCUUAACCUUACAACGCCGAAGGUGUUU